AAAUCUAGUUAAGCGUUGACUGCUUUCUUUACAGGGUGAUUGUUUGAUUUAAAACGGAGUACAGCAAUCGAAUGAAACGUCCUCGAGCGACUGACACGACACAUCUCCCCGCUGGAAGAUGACUCUACACAAAUCCAACAACGUGAUUGAGAACAUCUAAGGACGAGAGCUCUACUGUACCACGACGGACGAGAGGAGAGGAGGGAUGCUGCUCCUCGCCAACAGCUGAAAUGAUUUAAAGAUGUGCAGAUUCCUGAAGCUGUGUGGAAACACGGCAGACGGGACAGUGUGAGAUGAGUACAUGCAUGUGGAAGCUCUCCCAACAGUGACACACGUUAGUCAAACACAACCUACAUUUAUUGCGAUAGUGUUACCUCUCGGGGUGCUGGACACCGGGGUCUG
This is a long non-coding RNA of Sebastes umbrosus (honeycomb rockfish), 402 nucleotides long. RefSeq lists it as uncharacterized. NCBI's taxonomy places the organism in Eukaryota, Metazoa, Chordata, Actinopteri, Perciformes, Sebastidae. The record is from RefSeq and is a predicted model, not a curated record. The transcript has 2 exons.